GGACGGGGGAGGAACACGUGGGUAACCUGCCCUUAAGUGGGGGAUAACAUUUGGAAACAGAUGCUAAUACCGCAUAGAUCCAAGAACCGCAUGGUUCUUGGCUGAAAGAUGGCGUAAGCUAUCGCUUUUGGAUGGACCCGCGGCGUAUUAGCUAGUUGGUGAGGUAACGGCUCACCAAGGCGAUGAUACGUAGCCGAACUGAGAGGUUGAUCGGCCACAUUGGGACUGAGACACGGCCCAAACUCCUACGGGAGGCAGCAGUAGGGAAUCUUCCACAAUGGACGCAAGUCUGAUGGAGCAACGCCGCGUGAGUGAAGAAGGCUUUCGGGUCGUAAAACUCUGUUGUUGGAGAAGAAUGGUCGGCAGAGUAACUGUUGUCGGCGUGACGGUAUCCAACCAGAAAGCCACGGCUAACUACGUGCCAGCAGCCGCGGUAAUACGUAGGUGGCAAGCGUUAUCCGGAUUUAUUGGGCGUAAAGCGAGCGCAGGCGGUUUUUUAAGUCUGAUGUGAAAGCCCUCGGCUUAACCGAGGAAGCGCAUCGGAAACUGGGAAACUUGAGUGCAGAAGAGGACAGUGGAACUCCAUGUGUAGCGGUGAAAUGCGUAGAUAUAUGGAAGAACACCAGUGGCGAAGGCGGCUGUCUGGUCUGUAACUGACGCUGAGGCUCGAAAGCAUGGGUAGCGAACAGGAUUAGAUACCCUGGUAGUCCAUGCCGUAAACGAUGAAUGC
This 730-nucleotide ribosomal RNA is filed under the name uncultured bacterium. RNAcentral's name for it is "bacterial SSU rRNA". It matches the Rfam family "Bacterial small subunit ribosomal RNA", at positions 100 to 816 of the family's 1533-position model. The record is from RNAcentral.